AGUGAACGCUGGCGGCAGGCCUAAUACAUGCAAGUCGAACGGCAGCACAGCAGAGCUUGCUCUGUGGGUGGCGAGUGGCGGACGGGUGAGGAAUACAUGGGAAUCUGCCCAGUCGUGGGGGAUAACGUAUGGAAACGUACGCUAAUACCGCAUGCGCCCUACGGGGGAAAGUCGGGGACCGCAAGGCCUGACGCGAUUGGAUGAGCUCAUGUUCGAUUAGCUAGUUGGCGGGGUAAAGGCCCACCAAGGCGACGAUCGAUAGCUGGUCUGAGAGGAUGAUCAGCCACACUGGAACUGAGACACGGUCCAGACUCCUACGGGAGGCAGCAGUAGGGAAUAUUGGACAAUGGGGGCGAACCCUGAUCCAGCCAUGCCGCGUGAGUGAAGAAGGCCCUCGGGUUGUAAAGCUCUUUUGUCCGGAAGAAAAGCAAUCGGUUAAUACCCGGUUGUUCUGACGGUACCGGAAGAAUAAGCACCGGCUAACUUCGUGCC
Molecule: ribosomal RNA, 492 nt
Filed under: uncultured bacterium
Lineage: Bacteria
Description: bacterial SSU rRNA
Rfam family: Bacterial small subunit ribosomal RNA
Source: RNAcentral